This 367-nucleotide RNase P RNA is filed under the name Clostridiales bacterium. Its description in RNAcentral is "RNase P RNA component class A". It matches the Rfam family "Bacterial RNase P class A". Rfam says of the family: Ribonuclease P (RNase P) is a ubiquitous endoribonuclease, found in archaea, bacteria and eukarya as well as chloroplasts and mitochondria. Its best characterised activity is the generation of mature 5'-ends of tRNAs by cleaving the 5'-leader elements of precursor-tRNAs. Cellular RNase Ps are ribonucleoproteins. Lineage: Bacteria; Bacillati; Bacillota; Clostridia; Eubacteriales. The record is from RNAcentral.
UGAGCAGGCUGAGCGGCCGCGUUGCGUAUAUAGCCGAAAGACUGCGCGAUGAGGAAAGUCCGGGCUCCAGAGGGCAAGGAUAACGGGUAACACCCGCCGAAGGCGACUUCAGGAAAAGUGCAACAGAGAUAUACCGCUGUCUUUAAGGCAGUAAGGGUGGAAAGGUGAGGUAAGAGCUCACCGAUCUUCCGGGAGACCGGGGGAUCCUGCAAACUCUAUCCGGAGCAACACCGCUGUGAGGACGAGAGCGCAAGCUCUCGCGUCUGCCCGACGCAGCGCCUCCGAGGUGGCUUGAGACGUGUGGCAACACACGUCCCAGACAGAUGGCCGCUGUUCACAGAACCCGGCUUACAGGCUUGCUCACAUA